GACGAACGCUGGCGGCGUGCCUAAUACAUGCAAGUAGAACGCUGAAGAGAGGAGCUUACUCUUCUUGGAUGAGUUGCGAACGGGUGAGUAACGCGUAGGUAACCUGCCUUGUAGCGGGGGAUAACUAUUGGAAACGAUAGCUAAUACCGCAUAACAAUGGAUGACACAUGUCAUUUAUUUGAAAGGGGCAAUUGCUCCACUACAAGAUGGACCUGCGUUGUAUUAGCUAGUAGGUGAGGUAAUGGCUCAACUAGGCGACGAUACAUAGCCGACCUGAGAGGGUUAUCGGCCAAACUGGGACUGGGACACGGCCCAGGCUCCUACGGGAGGCAGCAAGAGGGAAUCUUCGGCAAUGGGGGCAACCCUGACCGAGCAACGCCGCGUGGGGGAAGAAGGGUUUCGGAUCGGAAAGCUCUGUUGUAAGUCAAGAACGGAUGUGGGAAUGGAAAGUGCACACUGUGACGGUAGCUUACCAGAAAGGGACGGCUAACUACGUG
RNAcentral lists this ribosomal RNA (497 nucleotides) under uncultured bacterium. RNAcentral describes it as "partial 16S ribosomal RNA". It matches the Rfam family "Bacterial small subunit ribosomal RNA", at positions 28 to 507 of the family's 1533-position model. The record is from RNAcentral.